This 540-nucleotide ribosomal RNA is filed under the name Negha inflata. RNAcentral's name for it is "partial 16S ribosomal RNA". The stretch from base 396 to 540 matches the Rfam family "Bacterial large subunit ribosomal RNA", at positions 2473 to 2618 of the family's 2925-position model. Lineage: Eukaryota; Metazoa; Arthropoda; Insecta; Raphidioptera; Inocelliidae. The record is from RNAcentral.
CAAAAACAUGGUUUUUUGUUUAUAAUUUAAGAUUUAAUCUGCCCACUGAUUAUUUAAAGGGCCGCAGUAUAUUGACUGUGCAAAGGUAGCAUAAUCAUUUGUCUCUUAAUUGGUGACUAGUAUGAAUGAUUGGACGAGAUAAUUACUGUCUCAUUUUUAAUUUUAAUAAAAUUUUAUUUUUAAGUUAAAAAGCUUAAAUAAUUUUUAAGGACGAGAAGACCCUAUAGAGUUUUAUUAAUUUAAUAAAAAUUUUUAUUUUUGUAUAUAAAUUAUUUUUAUAAAAAUUAAUUUGGUUGGGGUGAUUAAAAAAUUUAUAAAACUUUUUAAAAAUUUUAUCAAUAAAUUUUGUUUAUUUUGAUCCAGAAAUUUUGAUUAUUUGAUUAAAUUACCUUAGGGAUAACAGCGUUAUUAUUUUGGAAAGUUCAUAUUUAUAAAAUAGUUUGCGACCUCGAUGUUGAAUUAAGAUGAAAUUUUGGGGUAGUAUUUAAAAUUUUUAGUCUGUUCGACUAUUAAAUUCUUACAUGAUCUGAGUCCAAACCA